AUGACCGAUUCAAAUUAUGGGAAAUUAACAGUUUAUUUAACUAUUAGUACGAUUCAUCUAUACUAUCAUACUAAUAUCUAUGCUAUAUAUACAUCUAUACUGUGUCCCAAAUUCCAGAAAUACAGCAUUUAGUUGUGGGUGGUAGAACGAAUCUUUUUAAUUGUCCAGCUUUUAGAGCGAAGGCCACACGCUGAGGCAGUAUUGCCAGGCCUGGUCCAGGGAGCAGCCUGUGACCUCAGCGCAUCCUCUAACCUCUGUGCCUUGGAGCAGCGCCUCUUGGGCUGCUCUGGGAUUAAAUUAAAUGAGUUAAUAUUUGCCAGGGGCAAACAGUUGCCUAUUUCAUAAGAAGUGCCUAGAUCCUAGUUCAUAUAUAAUUCUCUGUCCAACAAAAUGAAGAAUACUUCUAAAAUAAGGGGAAAAUGAAAUUAUUUUAAAAGCCUAUCUGACCAAAAACUAUCUGACAGCAUCAGAAAAGCCCAAAUAUGAUGCCCUGGGACUAUGUUGUUUCUCUUUUUUUUUUUUUCCCUUUUGUCUUUUUGUCUUUUAGGGCGGCACGUGCGGCACAUGGAGGUUCCCAGGCUAGGGGUCCAAUCGGAGCUGUAGCCACCGGCCUACGCCGAAGCUCAGGGCAACGCCGGAUCCUUAACCUGCUGAGCAAGACCAAGGAUCGAACCCACAUCCUCAUGGCUGCUAGUCAGGUUCAGUAACCGCUGAGCCACAACAGGAACUGCUGUUGUUGCUUUUUUCUAUUUUCCUUUCAGCAUGGUUUCCAGUUGGACUUCCCACUAUAGUUUAUAACCUUAACUACAAAGGCAUAGUUUAGGUUCAUGGGGUAAUUUUAUCAGGGGGCGGAGGGUGGGUGACCAAGUACCUCUGGCACAUUCACAUGCAAAGAGAUGCCCCCGAAGGGGUGACGGCCGAGACCAGCUCUGUUUCUGGUCCCAGGAUUCCCAGGCCCCGGCUCCACCCUCUGCACGUGCCCCAAGCUCCCCAGCACAUCUGCAUGAAAAAAGGAGCCUGUACGGCCUCUUGGGCAGGCCUCCAAGUUCAUUCUUCACCCGGAGCCAAGGCCGGCCCAGAGAGCAUUACCAUCCCAAAGGCCCGGCCUUUGUCAGAGGAGGAAGGGAUGGAAAUGCAGGGAGCAAGUGCUGGCUCAGCAGAGCCCUCCCUGCAGAGCGUCCUCCAGCUCCGCUCAUUGUUAUUCCAGCCAGGUGUCCGCUCGCCAGCCAACCCGGCGAGGAUGUCCACGCCGAGAUCAGAGAUAAUGCCCCCCACGAGAUUCCUCACCCCCCACCCCUCUAACUGGGGGAGGAGGGGAUGGGGCGGUCCAGGCAGAGGAGCUGACGGGUCGAGUUUGCAUGUAAAAGAACUGCCAGACGCCGGUCUCGGCCCCCCUCCUCCCUCCCAGCGAGGGAGCUUCUCCGGCUUCGUCCUCCCUGACAACUUGACCUUGGCAGAGGCCAAACACAAGCCCAGGCAGCAUCCCCAGCCAUUCCUCGCAUUCUGGGUGACUGAGCCCCGGGAGGCCGCAGGCAGCUCUGGAGCAGGGCUGAGGCGAGCAUGUGAGGCCAGCUGGACCAGGCCCUGGGCAAACCCCCCAUGCCAGCCCCCGGAGAGCCUCACCUUUCAGGCCAACAGCCCACACUCCCGCCCCCACUGCUGCCUGACAUCCCACGCCGGUGGGUCAGGGCAGGAAAGAAGAGGGGGGAGACUGGCCACUUGCCCUGCACAAGCAGCUUGGGGGGGGGGCUGUCAGCAGCAUCUGGGACACGUGUCCAGGACCGAUUGAGAAGGUUCCGGCCCCGAGCCCAGGCACAGCCAGCAUGCUGGCCGGAUGGGCUCAUCACCUGCGGUUACAGUGCACCUGCCAAGUGCUCCUGAGAUGCUUAAAGAAACCCAGAACUCCAACAGAGCCGCAAUGAAAACUUAAAGCAGCAAGGCAGGAGUGGGAGGGGUCCCUCCCAGCGCUGAACACACCGUGACGCCAUCCUGCCCAGACCUCCAGAACCAAAGGCGUGGCUGUCAGAGGGAGAGGUGAUGGUCAUUUGGUAUUUACAUAAGAUCUUUACCACACGCACCUCGGAACACCUGGUUACCCAAGCCAUCCCUUCCAGGCCACCAGGCAGGCCCUGGUAGACCCAGUCAUUGUUGAUCACACCCAAGUGCAGGGCUGUCCGCCAGCGCUGCACCCAAAAGGACAUUCCCCUCUGACACUCUGCAACAGGGCCACAUCCAUUCCUGGAGGCUCAAGGGAGGUUCUUGAUUCCUUGCCUCCUUCCCAGCUUCUAGAGGUUUCUUGUAUUCCUUGCCUUUCUUCUUUUUAGAGCUGCACCCAUGGCAUAUGGAAAUUACCUGGCUAGGGGUCAAAUUAGAGCUGCAGCUGCCAGUCUACACCACAGCCACAGCAAUACAGGAUCUGAGCCCCAUCUGUGACCUACACCACAGCUCACGGCAACGCCCCAGAUCCUUAACCCACUGAGUGAGGCCAGGGAUUGAACCCGCAUCCUCAUGGUUCCUAGUCGGGUUCCUUACCCACUGAGCCACAACAGGAACUCUCCUCUUCCCCCAUCUUCAAAGCGGCAAUGUUACUUCUGACAUUACAUCACCUCCUCUUCGGCCUCUUCCCUCCACUUUUAAGGGCCCUUGCAAGGAUGCUGGACCCACAGGAAAAUCCAGGAUAAUCUCCCUGUAUCAAGGUCAGCCUUCAUUCCACCUGCAAUCUUAUAUCCCUUUGGCCACAUAACAUGUAAUACUCACGGGUUCCAGGGACCAGGAUGUGAACCUCUUCGGGAGGCAGAGGGCAAUUAUUGGAUUAUCCUGCCAUCUACACUCACGUCUAUGCCAGGCCCCAGGCUGCUCUGUGCCCUCAGAGCCCCCAGAUGGUCACCUGUCACCUCCCCGACCCUGACCCCCACCGCUCUUGGCUGGUUCCAACCACCUCCCCAUCCCAAGGGUCUUCUUCCAACUUGUGGCGCAGUGACCCCUCCACCCCCCACCUCAUGCCCACUGCAGGGAUGAGGGAACAGUGGCAAAGGCACACCCGGGGUCACUGGGCUGAAGGAGCAGGCCUGGAUUCCAGCCAGCCUGCUCUCUACCGCCCCACACAGCUCCCGAGGACUCAGACCGGUCCAGGAUGUGGGGAGUCGAGCCUCCAGGCCGGGCCCCUUCCGGCACGGGGGCAUCCUGGCCACCUUCGUCUGGUGCCCUGGUGGCCCGAGGACCUCCAACGUGAAUUCUCACUGACUGGGCUGAGGAUUUCCCAAGGUCAAAAAUUUUCUGCCCAAUUCCACAUACAGAGGUUGGCGGGUAGAACACAAGUAAAGGCAAGAUCCGCUGGGCACUUGCUGAGUGCCAGGAACUGGCAUCCAGCGGCUACAUCUGCCCACAGCCCUGAGAGGAGGCCCAAUGAGUUCCCUUUCUCAAGAGGAGGCCAGGUCUCCAGAGAUGGGUUCCAGCUCACUCACACAGCAGGGAGUUGGCAGCGCCCCAUUCAGGCUGGCAGGCUCUCUCCCCUCCACCGCGAGGCCUCCCCCAUCCUUGCCCACCCAGGAAGCAAGCAUUCCCAGCCGGCCAGCACCAAGGAGAUCUCCUCUCUCCCGCCACCUGCAGCACCUCCUGCCAGCAGGCCGGGCCCUGGAUUGGUAGAACCGGAGUUCUUGGUUGGUUUCAUGCCUCAGCUUGUGACAAAGGAAGCUUCAGUCUCCUUCAGUGGCAGGUCACAAGAAGCCACGAGACCAUGCUGGGUGCAGGGCCUGGGUGCAGCCAAGCAGAGGGUGCCGCUGGCUGUCCCUGGGCACUCAGCCUGAAGCUGGUCCCAACCUUUCCCCUAGAUCCUGCUCUGUCCUCACGGAGCCAAAAUAACCCGGAGUGACUGAGGCCAGUGGGGCAGAGAGACAAGGCCCUGCCAUGCCAGCCAACCUUUGCUCUGCUCACCCAGACAACCCAGCCAAGUCCUGGCCACAAAUGCAAAGGGUCCUGGGGGAUUCAACUCAAAGGUGGUCCCACACACCUGGCCAGGCUCAGGGUCCACGCACGUGAUGUUACUGCUCGGGGCAUCCACUCCCAAGCCCGGCAAGAGAGACAGAAGGAACACACAGGACACAGUAAGAGACUCGCGUCUACAGCGGAAGCAGACAUGAAACAAAUGAUCCUGCAAACAUCCACCACGUUACAAACCACCACUGAAUAACCCGCCCACACCAGACCAGCAGUUAAUCAGGGGGUCCCAGUGGAGGUCUCUGAGGAGCAGACCUUUACAAUGACACCGGAAAGUUAGCAGGAUUUUUUAUUUUGCUUAUGAGGAAAGGAAGGAAGCAAGAAGGGAGACGCUCGCUGCCAAAUACCACUAGAGUAGGAAUAUUUAAAACUGGCAACAGCCCAGAUUAGGGAGACAGACCCCGCUGCAUUCACUUGCAAAGCAUGGUUUUGCUGCCCCAGUCAGAUGCAGAUUUUCAACCCAAUGUACCCAUAGAAAUGGAGGUGUCACUUCCAGGUGGGCACGCCUAACAAAGGGGUCCAGCGGGGCUCACAGGUCCCACCACCUGCAAAAUCCACAAAUCAAUCCAGACAGAUUUUACCAACUCCUGAGAAGAAAACUGCUAAAUGCACCAAAGGAAAUGAUCAGUUGACAAACCACAAACAGGCCAUACACAUGCCCAGUGGUCGAUUACAGAAGGACUCAAAGUAAGGCAAGGAGAGCCGUGGCUUUGUUCCCGAGGCUCUGCUGAUGGCAGAGCUCCAGGACCGCUCUGUUUUGUCUCCGGAAU
Molecule: long non-coding RNA, 4766 nt
Filed under: Sus scrofa (pig)
Lineage: Eukaryota; Metazoa; Chordata; Mammalia; Artiodactyla; Suidae
Description: lncRNA (ENSSSCG00050018716.1)
Source: RNAcentral